UACGAAGGGGGCUAGCGUUGUUCGGAAUUACUGGGCGUAAAGCGCACGUAGGCGGGUCGUUAAGUCAGGGGUGAAAGCCCGGAGCUCAACUCCGGAAUUGCCCUUGAUACUGGCGACCUUGAGUCCGAGAGAGGUAAGUGGAACUCCGAGUGUAGAGGUGAAAUUCGUAGAUAUUCGGAAGAACACCAGUGGCGAAGGCGGCUUACUGGCUCGGUACUGACGCUGAGGUGCGAAAGCGUGGGGAGCAAAC
This 250-nucleotide ribosomal RNA is filed under the name uncultured bacterium. RNAcentral describes it as "partial 16S ribosomal RNA". It matches the Rfam family "Bacterial small subunit ribosomal RNA", at positions 524 to 773 of the family's 1533-position model. The record is from RNAcentral.